RNAcentral lists this ribosomal RNA (440 nucleotides) under uncultured bacterium. RNAcentral's name for it is "partial 16S ribosomal RNA". It matches the Rfam family "Bacterial small subunit ribosomal RNA", at positions 338 to 795 of the family's 1533-position model. The record is from RNAcentral.
CCUACGGGUGGCAGCAGUAGGGAAUAUUGCUCAAUGGGGGAAACCCUGAAGCAGCAACGCCGCGUGGAGGAUGAAGGUUUUAGGAUUGUAAACUCCUUUUGUGAGAGAAGAUAAUGACGAUAUCUCACGAAUAAGCACCGGCUAACUCCGUGACAGCAGCCGCGGUAAUACGGCGGGUGCAAGCGUUACUCGGAAUCACUGGGCGUAACGAGUGCGCAGGCGGGCUGGUAUGUCAGAUGUGAAAUCCUGUAGCUUAACUACAGAACUGCAUUUGAAACUAUGAGGCUAGAGUGUGGGAGAGGUAGGUGGAAUUCUUGGUGUAGAGGUAAAAUGCGUAGAGAUCAAGAGGAAUACUCAUUGCGAAGGCGACCUACUGGAACAUUACUGACGCUCAUGCACGAAAGCGUGGGGAGCAAACAGGAUUAGAUACCCCUGUAGUC